AACGGAGGGGGCAAGUGUUACUCGUCAUAAUUGGGCGUAAAGGGUGCGCAGGCUGUUUUUUAAGUUUUAAGUAAAAGGUUAAUUUUAAAGGUUAACAAGGUUUAAAAUACUGAAAAACUAGAGUAGGAAAGAGGGAAAUGGAACUUUUACAGUAGAGGUGGAAUUCUAAGAUAGUAAAGGGACGACCAAAGGCGAAGGCAAUUUUCUGGGUCCUAACUGACGCUGAAGCACGAAAGCGUGGGGAGCAAAC
Molecule: ribosomal RNA, 250 nt
Filed under: uncultured bacterium
Lineage: Bacteria
Description: partial 16S ribosomal RNA
Rfam family: Bacterial small subunit ribosomal RNA
Source: RNAcentral